Daphnia carinata is the source of this 2361-nucleotide long non-coding RNA. RefSeq lists it as uncharacterized. NCBI's taxonomy places the organism in Eukaryota, Metazoa, Arthropoda, Branchiopoda, Diplostraca, Daphniidae. The record is from RefSeq and is a predicted model, not a curated record. The transcript is spliced from 6 exons.
UUAAAAGGCGAUUCGUCCGGUUCCAGUUCGUUCACCUUUAAUGAUGACAGUAGACAGAUGACCACCUCCGACAUUGCUGCUUCGGAGAACUAUUCUAUUUUUGCAUUUCAAUGAAAAACGAACAACAUACAGUGAAUGUUAUCAAGAAUUCAUAUUGAAGAUCGUUGGGAGUAUCCAGUUUAAAGAAUCAUCAUUCCCAGUUGAAAAAGGAAGAAUCCACUACAAAAGUUUGAACUGCUGAAACGUCGAGACCAUUUCCGUGACGUCAGAAAAACAAUAAAAUGGUGAAAAAACGACGCUUCGUCUAUGGAGUAGGGCGCAAACUUUUCUAUUAUGCAAUUUAUCGAAAUUGAAAUCGGAACUUGGUUAUACGAGGAUUGUCUGCGUAAGUUGUGAAAGCAAAGUAGCAAUACUUUGAGACGCAUUGCAACUUGAACGGAAAACCCCCCGGAAAAUCAAUAACUCGCAAGAAGCAAGCUGAUAUCGUGAAUUUGCAAUUUUAAGCUUUGCCAUUUAUGAAUAAUAGCUGCAUUUUCACGUAAGUCUAUAGACAUUUGGUUUUGACUGACGGUUUUCAAGCUGAACGCAAACCAGGAUUCCCUUCACUUUAAAGCCAUAGUGAAUGUUUUAUCAAGCACGACCUAGCGAGAGAUGGAUUCUAACAUCCUAAAAAACAACAACAGCAUUUUGGCGUGAACUCGUGAAAACCUUUUUGCCACAUCCAUGAAAAUGUCGGAUUUUAAUCCGAUCAGCUGAGUAUUUAAUCCCAGACAAAUGUUUCAAUUUUAAAACACAGCGGCUGUUAGAUGCAUCUUUGAAGGACUGUUAUUGUACAGCUCUAAUGCCCCGUCUAUGACAUUGGACAGAUUGCUUGAUGCCAACGAAUCGCGAACGAACGACGUCUUCUCUAUCCAAGAACAAGUAAAAAUUUGCAUGCUGUCCAACUUCAACAAUGUCAUCGGCAACGCUUGACAGUCUGGAGAAGAGCUUUUCUAACCGCCAAUCAACCUAUUAUUCCGGUUGUCUCCGGAAUUGCUUUUAACGGGAUGUCCUGAAGCGGUUGACAGAUGAAAAGUUUGGUCAUGAUGAUAAUUGAUUGCUAAUAAGGUCUAUGAGCAAAAACAUGUAUGAUGCCUGGUGCAACAGCUGCCUCAUUAACCGUUUUUUUGUUUGCCUCAUGAUAUUGUCUUAUUCUACAGGUUUUUCUGGUUCGGUGCUUUUUUUUUCUUCUCAUGUGCAGCUCCGUGAUAUUCUCAUUUCGCUAGCAUUAUUUUAUGGAAUGGGUCCUUUGCCUAUCUAUAGGGCUACAUCAAUUAAUGCUAGACUACUCUCAUGUAAGUACCUCGAAAUAGCUGGGCAGAUAGUCCUAAUCAACACAAAUUGCUUCAGAGGAAGAAAUCUUAGAAAAAGCCGACAAAUUAAUUUUUUAUUUGCUUAAUGAUUCAGUACGACGUACGAAACCAAGAGCGAAAUAAUGAAUGAUGAAAUCUUGGUGUCCUUUAGUUUAGCAGGUAACCGAUAGGUGCAACAUGGUGACGGAUCUACGCUGUCAAAAAUCGCGAGUUUUGCUCUUUACGACGAGUUCGUCCGUGGACAAACAUCACAAUUAAAAACACAUCUUUCUAAUUUGGAGGAUUUUGUUUUUCUACCACUUUUGUGGUGACACAUUCAAUGCCGAAAAUCUACUGAAUCGCCAGCUGAUUGAGGCCAUGGAACUGCCGCUUCAAUUGUUGUUGUUGAUGAACCUCGAAAGUGGGAAAAUCUAUUUUCUUCUUUCCUAGAAAUCGACUGAACAGUAGCCUAAAAUUAGUUACCACAAACGCAGAAGGAAAGAGAAAGAAAAGCGUCGCUGUAAAUUGGACAACUACAAACUUUAUGCCCAAGUCCUAUGAACUUCAACGUACUUUUGAUCUCGUUGCAUGUUCCUGUGUGAUAAAAUUAGACUUGAAACGACCCUUACGCCCCAUGAAUUCUUCGAAAUAUGUGACCUUUUAGAUGCAGUGUCAACCACCCCAUUUUUUGUUUAUUCAGGUAAAAACGACCUUGCUGAUUUGGUAAUCGCAAGUUGCAGUAAAAUCAACGUCUUUUCAACGUGUCGGUAGAGGGCUCUGCGUCAAAUACCAGCAACACAGUCCAAUGGAGUUCGUUUUGUAAUAAGGUGUGAUCCGCAGUUUUUGUAGUGCAGUUGAUUGCAAUUGCACUGUAAACCCUAAACAAAAUUUUCAAUGGAAGUUGUUGGUUGCAAACGAUCGUCACACGGACGUUUGUUCAUCUGUUGCAACAAUCAUUUUGACUACUACCAGCUUGUUUUUAUUUUGAUCUGAUUCGUAAACUGUCUUGAUCGGCUGUCAAUAAUUUUGC